RNAcentral lists this ribosomal RNA (546 nucleotides) under uncultured bacterium. RNAcentral describes it as "bacterial SSU rRNA". It matches the Rfam family "Bacterial small subunit ribosomal RNA", at positions 207 to 743 of the family's 1533-position model. The record is from RNAcentral.
GCUUCGGCUGUCACUUUAGGAUGGACCCGCGGCGCAUUAGCUUGUUGGUAAGGUAACGGCUUACCAAGGCGAUGAUACGUAGCCGACCUGAGAGGGUAAUCGGCCACAUUGGGACUGAGACACGGCCCAAACUCCUACGGGAGGCAGCAGUAGGGAAUCUUCCACAAUGGACGAAAGUCUGAUGGAGCAACGCCGCGUGAGUGAUGAAGGGUUUCGGCUCGUAAAACUCUGUUGUUGGAGAAGAACAGGUGUCAGAGUAACUGUUGACAUCUUGACGGUAUCCAACCAGAAAGCCACGGCUAACUACGUGCCAGCAGCCGCGGUAAUACGUAGGUGGCAAGCGUUGUCCGGAUUUAUUGGGCGUAAAGCGAGCGCAGGCGGUUUUUUAGGUCUGAUGUGAAAGCCUUCGGCUUAACCGGAGAAGUGCAUCGGAAACCGGGAGACUUGAGUGCAGAAGAGGACAGUGGAACUCCAUGUGUAGCGGUGAAAUGCGUAGAUAUAUGGAAGAACACCAGUGGCGAAGGCGGCUGUCUGGUCUGUAACUGA